GUAAGAGUUUCAGAUACUUUGACUACUGCAGAGUGGACUUUCCUUAUUCAGCUAACAAGUCUGAAGACCCACGUUCUCAAGUUAGGACAGACAAAACGAGAGUAGCUUGAACUGAUCAGGCUUGAAAGGUCCUUUUCUUCAUUGGUAGAAGAGUUGACUUGCAAAGGGAAUCUUUACAGCUUUCAAAGAGAUCUUCAGAGGUUGAUGAAGCUUUAGUCACUCAAGAAGUU
RNAcentral lists this long non-coding RNA (230 nucleotides) under Trifolium pratense (red clover). Its description in RNAcentral is "long non-coding RNA (TPRA_LNC000601)". Lineage: Eukaryota; Viridiplantae; Streptophyta; Magnoliopsida; Fabales; Fabaceae. The record is from RNAcentral.